Non-coding RNA from Cinara cedri, 506 nucleotides. The record is from the annotation of a GenBank genome assembly. NCBI's taxonomy places the organism in Eukaryota, Metazoa, Arthropoda, Insecta, Hemiptera, Aphididae.
UGGUACACUUAUAUGUACAUAAAAGCUUUUAACCGACUAUAUAACAAUAAAUAACUCCUUUUAAGGUGGUUAUACGCGUGAUAAGGGAAAAUUACAAAAGCAUAGAGCGAAACGGAAAAUUUUGCUCACGUGAUAUAAAAUAUAGAUAAAGAUAUUUUUUAAUUAAAUAUAAUAUACAUCUGUGUAUAUAUAUUUAUAUAUAAUAAUCGUAAAACAAAUAAUCUGUACUCGUGAUAUUCCUGAAACUGCAACGUUACGAUAAUACGCGAAUAUUGUAUACGUGGAUGUAAUAUAUUGUUGCUUAUAUUUUAUUUAAUGAAAAACAAAUAAAAUUUAUCAUCUCCUGCGAGACGGACGAAGUUGUAAUAAAAGAUAACAUAAAAAUAAAAGUGUAGAGCUGCUUGUUUCUUAAAUGUUUUGAAAAACAAAUUUCGAUAAAAAUUGGUCCAUCCUAAAAUCCACCUAAAUGGAUCACCUGGUGCAUUCUCUGCUAUACUCAGAAUCUA